Molecule: long non-coding RNA, 427 nt
Organism: Mesocricetus auratus (golden hamster)
Lineage: Eukaryota; Metazoa; Chordata; Mammalia; Rodentia; Cricetidae
Exons: 2
Source: RefSeq, a predicted model, not a curated record
GCGGCGGAGACCCAGUCCUCUACAGUGUGCUUUCCGCCCUGGGAUCGGGGUCUGGAAGUCCGUGUCGCGUUGUUUGAGGGAUUAAACAGUCUCCCGAAACGCUGUCCGACUCCGCGGGGUGGGACGUGGGAGGAGAAGGCAGGGUGUGAGCUUCUGUCCCCGGUGCCCUUGGAACCCUCCGCAGCGCGCUGUCCAACACCGCGGUCGCCUUGCUGCUCAUCACUCAACCUCAGAUCCUCGACCGUGCUACCACUACUGAAACCGGACGUGAUGGUGUCCGCCUUUAAUUCCAGCACCCGAGAGACAGAGGCAAGUGAUCUCUGUGAAUUUGGAGCCAGGGUUUCUUAGUGUAAACUGGAACAUGCUUUGUAGACCAGGCUGGUGCUGACAACUGCUAUGUCAGAGAGAUAAAAGUGGACGUGGAAAA